This 292-nucleotide ribosomal RNA is filed under the name uncultured bacterium. Its description in RNAcentral is "partial 16S ribosomal RNA". It matches the Rfam family "Bacterial small subunit ribosomal RNA", at positions 505 to 796 of the family's 1533-position model. The record is from RNAcentral.
GUGCCAGCAGCCGCGGUAAGACGAAGGGGGCUAGCGUUGUUCGGAAUUACUGGGCGUAAAGGGCGCGUAGGCGGUCCUUUAAGUCAGGCGUGAAAGCCCUGGGCUCAACCUGGGAAUGGCGCUUGAUACUGUAGGACUAGAGAGUGGGAGAGGUUGGUGGAAUUCCCAGUGUAGAGGUGAAAUUCGUAGAUAUUGGGAAGAACACCGGUGGCGAAGGCGGCCAACUGGACCAUUUCUGACGCUGAGGCGCGAAAGCGUGGGGAGCAAACAGGAUUAGAUACCCUGGUAGUCC